RNAcentral lists this unclassified non-coding RNA (1521 nucleotides) under Hevea brasiliensis (rubber tree). Lineage: Eukaryota; Viridiplantae; Streptophyta; Magnoliopsida; Malpighiales; Euphorbiaceae. The record is from RNAcentral.
CCUUUAUAUAAUUCAUUGCAUAUUUUGAUGUUUUAUAAUUAAAAUUUUGGGCCUUAAAAAAAUAAGUCAACUAGCCAAUGUUGCAAAAGCAAACUUCUCAUACAAAUAAUUGUGCAGGCUUCAGUGACUACACAAAACUGGUGCAUUUUGGCCACUAUCAUCGCAGCUUUGCUUCAUUUCUGAUAUUUUCAAGCUUCAUUUCUGCAUCUACGGAGAAGAACACAGCAUCCACUCAAAAUUAAAUCCAAAUUAUGCUUUCAGGUGUGGCUACUGGAGGUCACUUGCAACCCAAAUUUAUCAAUUUGCAAACAAGGCAUGCUCCUGGUUUUGAGGUGGGGAAAUUAUAUUUUUCAAGAUUUAGGCCUCCUUUGAAUAACAGAAUCAAUUGCACAUUUCGCCAAUCAGAGAAAGUCUCUUUUGCUCAUGAGGAACAUGAAAAGAUUUGGCCUUUGGUUAAGAUGUGUGGGAUUACAAGUGCUAAAGAUGCUGAAAGGGCAGCACAAGCUGGAGCCAAUUUUAUUGGGAUGAUUCUAUGGCCCAACUCAAAACGCUCCAUUUCACUUUCAGUAGGAAAGGAAAUUUCAAAAGUUGCACGGUCAUAUGGAGCAAAACCUGUUGGGGUGUUUGUGGAUGAUGAUGCAGACACAAUAUUGAGAGCUGCAGAUGCUUGUGAUCUUGAAUUUGUUCAGCUUCAUGGAAAUGGUUCACGGGCAGCUUUUUCAGAUUUAGUUAAAGAAAAACAAAUAGUAUAUGUUCUAAAUGCAAAUGCAGAUGGAGACCUUCUAAAUCAAAUUUCAGAUGAAGAUUGUUCAAUGGUUGAUUGGAUUGUUGUGGACAGUGCAACAGGUGGCAGGUAAGAAAUACCCCUUUUUUUCCCCUUACAGCAAGUACUUUUGUCAGGCUUCAUCUUGUAUGCAUAUGUAUUCCUAUUAUGAACCGUCAUCUCAAGGUCUAACAUGCACAAUUUUGGAACUGAAUUAUCUUAUGCUAUCACUAUGGUUGCUUAUUUGCAAAUUUGAUUAGGUAUGCACUUAAUAUUGUACAACAAGGUCUUGAAACUGGGUGCAUCUUCAGCUGAGUUGUCUUAUGAUGCCUAUUGCACAACUUGGCCAAGAGGCCCAAGGCCCAAGACUAACUUGCUUAGAGUAAGUUUGGCAGACUGACCAUAAUAGAGCACAGUAAUGACUUUCUCAUUAAUCUUUCAAUUGCAUUUUCAUUCCAUAGGCAUCCAUUAUGCUCUUUGGAUAUACUUCAAUUUAAACAAUCAAUUGCUUCCAAUAUUGGCACUACUAAAUUUACUUUAUUUUGGAAAUGGGUAGCGGGGUAAACAAGUUACUAGUCAGCCAAACACUUCAGCUGUAUCUCGGUGUCCCUACUCUUUAGUUUCAGUUUGCACUCACUUUGAGAUUGGUUUUUUUUUUUAUUUUUAAUCUUUGUUCUUAAAUUUUUCGUGAAAUUCUAUUUCCAGCGGCAAAGGAUUUAACUGGGCCCAGUUUAAGUUACCACCAGUUAGAAGCAAGA